UCCUUGACAGUCCAGCAGUUAGGACUCCACACUUUCACUGCUGAGGGUCAGGGUUCAAUCCCUAGUCAAGGAA
RNAcentral lists this transfer RNA (73 nucleotides) under Bos taurus (domestic cattle). It matches the Rfam family "tRNA". From Rfam's summary of the family: Transfer RNA (tRNA) molecules are approximately 80 nucleotides in length. The record is from Rfam by way of RNAcentral. RNAcentral also lists the same sequence under 4 other names. Lineage: Eukaryota; Metazoa; Chordata; Mammalia; Artiodactyla; Bovidae.